GACUAACGCUGGCGGCGUGCCUAACACAUGCAAGUCGAACGGGACCCUGGUUCGCCAGGGUCUAGUGGCAGACGGGUGAGUAACACGUAGGUAAUGUACCCUCUUGCUGGGGAUACCCGUCCGAAAGGAUGGUUAAUACCGAAUAUGCCAUUUCCGGGGCAUCCCGGUGGUGGCAAACUGGCAACGGGCGGGAGGAUCAGCCUGCGGACCAUCAGCUAGUUGGUGGGGUAACGGCCUACCAAGGCGACGACGGUUAGCCGGUUUGAGAGGACGAUCGGCCACACUGGGACUGAAACACGGCCCAGACUCCUACGGGAGGCAGCAGUGAGGAAUAUUGCGCAAUGGGCGAAAGCCUGACGCAGCGACGCCGCGUGAGGGAUGAAGGCCUUCGGGUCGUAAACCUCUGUCAGUGGGGAAGAGAACGGACGGUACCCACUGAGGAAGCAUCGGCUUACUACGUGCCAGCAGCCGCGGUAAUACGUAGGAUGCAAGCGUUGUCCGGAUUUACUGGGCGUAAAGAGCUCGUAGGCGGGGACGCGCGUCUCGGAGGAAAUUCCAGGGCUCAACCCUGGAGCUGUCCGAGAUACGGCGUCUCUUGAGGGCAGAAGAGGAGAACAGAAUUCCCGGUGUAGCGGUGAAAUGCGUAGAUAUCGGGAGGAAUACCAGUGGCGAAGGCGGUUCUCUGGUCUGUCUCUGACGCUGAGGAGCGAAAGCGUGGGUAGCGAACG
RNAcentral lists this ribosomal RNA (728 nucleotides) under uncultured bacterium. Its description in RNAcentral is "bacterial SSU rRNA". It matches the Rfam family "Bacterial small subunit ribosomal RNA", at positions 28 to 774 of the family's 1533-position model. The record is from RNAcentral.